This 453-nucleotide ribosomal RNA is filed under the name uncultured Paraprevotella sp. RNAcentral's name for it is "partial 16S ribosomal RNA". It matches the Rfam family "Bacterial small subunit ribosomal RNA", at positions 341 to 792 of the family's 1533-position model. The record is from RNAcentral. Lineage: Bacteria; Pseudomonadati; Bacteroidota; Bacteroidia; Bacteroidales; Prevotellaceae.
ACGGGAGGCAGCAGUGAGGAAUAUUGGUCAAUGGACGAGAGUCUGAACCAGCCAAGUAGCGUGCAGGAUGACGGCCCUAUGGGUUGUAAACUGCUUUUGUACGGGAAUAAAGUGACCUACGUGUAGGUUUUUGCAUGUACCGUUCGAAUAAGCAUCGGCUAAUUCCGUGCCAGCAGCCGCGGUAAUACGGAAGAUGCGAGCGUUAUCCGGAUUUAUUGGGUUUAAAGGGAGCGUAGGCGGUCCUUUAAGUCAGCGGUCAAAUGUCGGGGCCCAACCCCGGCCUGCCGUUGAUACUGGAGGACUUGAAUACACACAAGGAAGGUGGAAUUCGUCGUGUAGCGGUGAAAUGCUUAGAUACGACGAAGAACUCCGAUUGCGAAGGCAGCCUUCUGGAGUGCGAUUGACGCUGAGGCUCGAAAGCGCGGGUAUCAAACAGGAUUAGAUACCCUGGUA